CCAGACUCCUACGGGAGGCAGCAGUGGGGAAUAUUGGACAAUGGACCGAGAGUCUGAUCCAGCAAUUCUGUGUGCACGAUGAAGUUUUUCGGAAUGUAAAGUGCUUUCAGUUGGGAAGAAAGAAAUGACGGUACCAACAGAAGAAGUGACGGCUAAAUACGUGCCAGCAGCCGCGGUAAUACGUAUGUCACGAGCGUUAUCCGGAUUUAUUGGGCGUAAAGCGCGUCUAGGUGGUUAUAUAAGUCUGAUGUGAAAAUGCAGGGCUCAACUCUGUAUUGCGUUGGAAACUGUAUAACUAGAGUACUGGAGAGGUAAGCGGAACUACAAGUGUAGAGGUGAAAUUCGUAGAUAUUUGUAGGAAUGCCGAUGGGGAAGCCAGCUUACUGGACAGAUACUGACGCUGAAGCGCGAAAGCGUGGGUAGCAAACAGGAUUAGAUACCCUGGUAGUCCACGCCGUAAACGAUGAUUACUAGGUGUUGGGGGUCGAACCUCAGCGCCCAAGCAAACGCGAUAAGUAAUCCGCCUGGGGAGUACGUACGCAAGUAUGAAACUCAAAGGAAUUGACGGGGGCCCGCACAAGAGGG
Molecule: ribosomal RNA, 585 nt
Filed under: uncultured bacterium
Lineage: Bacteria
Description: bacterial SSU rRNA
Rfam family: Bacterial small subunit ribosomal RNA
Source: RNAcentral